AGAGUUUGAUCCUGGCUCAGGACGAACGCUGGCGGUGUGCUUCACACAUGCAAGUCGAGCGAAUGAAGUAGGUAGCUUGCUACUUAUGGAUUUAGCGGCGGACGGGUGAGUAAUAUAUAGGAAUCUGCCUUAGAGCGGGGAACAACAGACCGAAAGGUUUGCUAAUGCCCCAUAGGUAUGCAGUCUUCGGAUUGUAUAUUAAAGGAGUAAUCCACUCUAAGAUGAGCCUGUAUCCGAUUAGCUAGUUGGCGGGGUAAAGGCCCACCAAGGCUACGAUCGGUAGUUGGUCUGAGAGGAUGAUCAGCCACAAUGGGACUGGGACACGGCCCAUACUCCUACGGGAGGCAGCAGUGGGGAAUUUUACACAAUGGGGGAAACCCUGAUGUAGCGACACCGCGUGAACGAAGAAGCCUUUUGGGGUGUAAAGUUCUGUCGGCUGGAACGAAAAAAAUGACGGUACCAGCAAAGGAAGCAUCGGCUAACUACGUGCCAGCAGCCGCGGUAAGACGUAGGAUGCAAGCGUUGUCCGGAUUUAUUGGGCGUAAAGAGUUCGUAGGUGGUUUGUUAAGUUUGGUGUUAAAGAUUGGGGCUCAACCCUGAAACUGCACUGAAUACUGGCAGACUCGAGUGUGGUAGAGGCUAGUGGAAUUCCCAGUGUAGCGGUGAAAUGCGUAGA
RNAcentral lists this ribosomal RNA (676 nucleotides) under uncultured bacterium. RNAcentral's name for it is "bacterial SSU rRNA". It matches the Rfam family "Bacterial small subunit ribosomal RNA", at positions 8 to 694 of the family's 1533-position model. The record is from RNAcentral.